RNAcentral lists this ribosomal RNA (395 nucleotides) under uncultured bacterium. RNAcentral's name for it is "bacterial SSU rRNA". It matches the Rfam family "Bacterial small subunit ribosomal RNA", at positions 30 to 405 of the family's 1533-position model. The record is from RNAcentral.
AUUGAACGCUGGCGGCAGGCCUAACACAUGCAAGUCGAACGGUAACAGGAAGCAGCUUGCUGCUUCGCUGACGAGUGGCGGACGGGGUGAGUAAUGUCUGGGAAGCUGCCUGAUGGAGGGGGAUAACUACUGGAAACGGUAGCUAAUACCGCAUAAUGUCGCAAGACCAAAAGAGGGGGACCUUUCGGGCCUCUUGCCAUCGGAUGUGCCCAGAUGGGAUUAGCUUGUUGGUGGGGUUAAACGGCUCACCCAAAGGCGACGAUCCCUAGCUGGUCUGAGAGGAUGACCAGCCACACUGGAACUGAGACACGGUCCAGACUCCUACGGAGGCCAGCAGUGGGGGAAUAUUGGCACAAAUGGGGCGCAACGCCUAGAUGUCAGCCAUGCCGCGUGUA